This 114-nucleotide ribosomal RNA is filed under the name uncultured eukaryote. RNAcentral describes it as "partial small subunit ribosomal RNA". It matches the Rfam family "Bacterial small subunit ribosomal RNA", at positions 1412 to 1525 of the family's 1533-position model. The record is from RNAcentral.
CGGCUUUACCUGAAGACGGUGCGCUAACUGCAAGGAGGCAGCCGGCCACGGUAGGGUCAGCGACUGGGGUGAAGUCGUAACAAGGUAGCCGUAGGUGAACCUGCAGAAGGAUCA